This 465-nucleotide ribosomal RNA is filed under the name Vreelandella stevensii. Its description in RNAcentral is "partial 16S ribosomal RNA". It matches the Rfam family "Bacterial small subunit ribosomal RNA", at positions 338 to 795 of the family's 1533-position model. Lineage: Bacteria; Pseudomonadati; Pseudomonadota; Gammaproteobacteria; Oceanospirillales; Halomonadaceae. The record is from RNAcentral.
CCUACGGGUGGCUGCAGUGGGGAAUAUUGGACAAUGGGCGAAAGCCUGAUCCAGCCAUGCCGCGUGUGUGAAGAAGGCCUUCGGGUUGUAAAGCACUUUCAGUGGGGAAGAAAGCCUUGGGGCUAAUACCCUCGAGGAAGGACAUCACCCACAGAAGAAGCACCGGCUAACUCCGUGCCAGCAGCCGCGGUAAUACGGAGGGUGCGAGCGUUAAUCGGAAUUACUGGGCGUAAAGCGCGCGUAGGCGGUCUGAUAAGCCGGUUGUGAAAGCCCCGGGCUCAACCUGGGAACGGCAUCCGGAACUGUCAGGCUAGAGUGCAGGAGAGGAAGGUAGAAUUCCCGGUGUAGCGGUGAAAUGCGUAGAGAUCGGGAGGAAUACCAGUGGCGAAGGCGGCCUUCUGGACUGACACUGACGCUGAGGUGCGAAGGCGUGGGUAGCAAACAGGAUUAGAUACCCCAGUAGUC